Molecule: small RNA, 325 nt
Filed under: Histoplasma ohiense
Lineage: Eukaryota; Fungi; Ascomycota; Eurotiomycetes; Onygenales; Ajellomycetaceae
Description: hypothetical lncRNA
Source: RNAcentral
UUGCAAGGAUACGUACAUGUGGGGUUCGAAAAUUCCAUUAUGGAGAGGGUGUGAAAAUUGACUCCAGGGGUGAAUGUUUUAAUUGCUGUGUGAAUGCACGAAUAUGGAGCGCUGAUACUCCUCGAACCGAUCAUUGAUGAGGAAAUAAGUGGUGUUGCCUGUGUAUUGAUUCCGGAGAACAUUCCACAUUGAACCCAGUCCCUGAUGAUGACAUCUACCUACUGAAAGAAAUUUCCAUGCUGAUCCUUUCCAGAUACCCUCAAAGAAAGAGACUUCUGACUGCGUAAGUACUUCGCCAGGCUUAUUAGCAAGGAUCCCACACGCG